RNAcentral lists this ribosomal RNA (376 nucleotides) under uncultured bacterium. RNAcentral's name for it is "bacterial SSU rRNA". It matches the Rfam family "Bacterial small subunit ribosomal RNA", at positions 521 to 896 of the family's 1533-position model. The record is from RNAcentral.
UAAUACGUAGGGGGCGAGCGUUGUCCGGAAUUACUGGGCGUAAAGCGCGCGUAGGCGGCUUGGUAAGUCGGUUGUGGAAGCCUCGAGCUCAACUCGGGAACGGCGACCGAAACUGCUGGGCUUGAGUACGGUAGGGGAUGCUGGAAUUCCUGGUGUAGCGGUGAAAUGCAUAGAUAUCAGGAGGAACACCGGUGGCGAAGGCGGGCAUCUGGGCCGUUACUGACGCUGAGGCGCGAAAGCUAGGGGAGCAAACCGGAUUAGAUACCCGGGUAGUCCUAGCCCUAAACGAUGGAUACUUGAUGUGGGCGAUUUUAGUUCACCCGUGUCGAAGCUAACGCGUUAAGUAUCCCGCCUGGGGAGUACGGUCGCAAGGCUG